Molecule: ribosomal RNA, 589 nt
Filed under: Hemicriconemoides rosae
Lineage: Eukaryota; Metazoa; Nematoda; Chromadorea; Rhabditida; Criconematidae
Description: SSU rRNA
Rfam family: Eukaryotic small subunit ribosomal RNA
Source: RNAcentral
CUGACCGUAAACGAUGCCAACUAGCGAUCCGCCGGUGGCUCUUUGGCCCUGGUGGGGAGCUUCCCGGAAACGAAAGUCUUCCGGUUCCGGGGGAAGUAUGGUUGCAAAGCUGAAACUUAAAGGAAUUGACGGAAGGGCACCACCAGGAGUGGAGCCUGCGGCUUAAUUUGACUCAACACGGGAAAACUCACCCGGCCCGGACACCGUGAGGAUUGACAGAUUGAUAGCUUUUUCAUGAUUCGGUGGUUGGUGGUGCAUGGCCGUUCUUAGUUCGUGGAUCGAUUUGUCUGGUUUAUUCCGAUAACGAGCGAGACUCCAGCCUACUAACUAGUGCGGGCAUUGCCUCUGUGCUUGUCACUUCUUAGAGGGAUUGGCUGCGUCUAGCGGCACGAAACGGAGCAAUAACAGGUCUGUGAUGCCCUUAGAUGUCCGGGGCUGCACGCGCGCUACACUGGCAAAAGCAGCGUGCUUGUCCGCCUCCGAAAGGAGCCGGUAAACCCUUGAAAAUUUGCCGUGAUUGGGAUCGGAAAUUGCAAUUAUUUCCGUGAACGAGGAAUUCCUAGUAAGUGCGAGUCAUCAGCUCGCGUUG